UCUGGUUGAUCCUGCCAGUAGUGAUAUGCUUGUUUCAAAGAUUAAGCCAUGCAUGUCUAAGUAUAAGCGAACUUAUACAGUGAAACUGCGGAUGGCUCAUUAAAACAGUUUGAAUUUAUUUGAUGAAUGUAUGAGAAUACUACUUGGAUAACCGUAGUAAUUCUAGAGCUAAUACAUGCAACGACGCCCGACCGUUUCACUACGGAAGGGCUGUAUUUAUUGGAUACCAAAACCAUCCUUCCCUCGGGAAGUUUUGUUUGAUGAUUCACAAUAACUGAUCGGAUCGCCACUGUGGUGGCGACAGGUCAUUCAACAUUCUGCCCUAUCAGCUUUCGAUGGUUGUGUAGUGGACAACCAUGGCCAUAACGGGUAACGGAGAAUCAGGGUUCGAUUCCGGAGAAGGAGCUUGAGAAUUGGCUACUACAUCUAAGGAAGGCAGCAGGCGCGCAAAUUACCCAAUCCCGAUUCGGGGAGGUAGUGACAAAAAAUAACAAUACCGGGCCUUUUUGGGCUUGGUAAUUGGAAUGAGGGAGAGUUAAACGGACCAUCGAUUAUCCAUUGGAGGGCAAGUCUGGUGCCAGCAGCUGCGGUAAUACCAGCUCCAAUAGCGUAUAUUAAAGUUGUUGCAGUUAAAAAGCUCGUAGUUGGACUUGUGUGCGCUGUCCGCGGGUGGCCUGCGCCCAAAAGGGCGUUUCGGUUCGGCCCCGGUGGCGCCUUGAAAUCUGCAGCUGGGGGGACGUUGGCCUUAACUGGUCGGCGACCGCACGCCGGCUGCUCGGUUACUGUGAGAAAAUUAGAGUGUUCAAGGCAGGCAUUGGGUGCAAUUGAAUACAUUAGCAUGGAAUAAUAAAAUAUGGCUCCUGCCGUAUUUUGUUGGUUUUGACUGGUGGGAGUAAUGAUUGAUAGGGACGGUUGGGGGUGCUAGUAUUGAGCGGCCAGAGGUGAAAUUCAUGGAUUCGCUCAAGACUAACUUAUGCGAAAGCAUUCACCAAGGACGUCCUCUUUAAUCAAGAACGAAAGUUGGGGGAUCGAAGACGAUCAGAUACCGUCGUAGUCUCAACCAUAAACUAUGUCGACUUGGGAUCGGCGGUAGUUUUUUCAUUAAGACACUGUCGGGACCACGGGAGAAAUCAAAGUGUCUGGACUCUGGGGGAAGUAUGGUCGCAAGGCUGAAACUUGAAGGAAUUGACGGAAGGGCACCACCAGGAGUGGAGCCUGCGGC
Molecule: ribosomal RNA, 1222 nt
Filed under: metagenome
Description: SSU rRNA
Rfam family: Eukaryotic small subunit ribosomal RNA
Source: RNAcentral